RNAcentral lists this ribosomal RNA (548 nucleotides) under Clostridium botulinum C/D. RNAcentral describes it as "bacterial SSU rRNA". It matches the Rfam family "Bacterial small subunit ribosomal RNA", at positions 117 to 681 of the family's 1533-position model. The record is from RNAcentral. Lineage: Bacteria; Bacillati; Bacillota; Clostridia; Eubacteriales; Clostridiaceae.
GUGGGUAACCUGCCUCAAAGAGGGGGAUAGCCUCCCGAAAGGGAGAUUAAUACCGCAUAACAUUAUUUUAUGGCAUCAUAAAAUAAUCAAAGGAGCACUCCGCUUUGAGAUGGACCCGCGGCGCAUUAGCUAGUUGGUGAGGUAACGGCUCACCAAGGCAACGAUGCGUAGCCGACCUGAGAGGGUGAUCGGCCACAUUGGAACUGAGACACGGUCCAGACUCCUACGGGAGGCAGCAGUGGGGAAUAUUGCGCAAUGGGGGAAACCCUGACGCAGCAACGCCGCGUGAGUGAUGAAGGUUUUCGGAUCGUAAAACUCUGUCUUUAGGGACGAUAAUGACGGUACCUAAGGAGGAAGCCACGGCUAACUACGUGCCAGCAGCCGCGGUAAUACGUAGGUGGCAAGCGUUGUCCGGAUUUACUGGGCGUAAAGAGUAUGUAGGUGGGUGCUUAAGUCAGAUGUGAAAUUCCCGGGCUCAACCUGGGAGCUGCAUUUGAAACUGGGCAUCUAGAGUGCAGGAGAGGAAAGUGGAAUUCCUAGUGUAGCGG